Molecule: ribosomal RNA, 506 nt
Filed under: uncultured bacterium
Lineage: Bacteria
Description: partial 16S ribosomal RNA
Rfam family: Bacterial small subunit ribosomal RNA
Source: RNAcentral
AGUGAACGCUGGCGGUAGGCCUAACACAUGCAAGUCGAACGGCAGCACAGGAGAGCUUGCUCUCUGGGUGGCGAGUGGCGGACGGGUGAGGAAUACAUCGGAAUCUACCUUUUCGUGGGGGAUCACGUAGGGAAACUUACGCUAAUACCGCAUACGACCUACGGGUGAAAGUGGGGGACCGCAAGGCCUCACGCGAUUAGAUGAGCCGAUGUCCGAGUAGCUAGUUGGCGGGGUAAUGGCCCACCAAGGCGACGAUCGGUAGCUGGUCUGAGAGGAUGAUCAGCCACACUGGAACUGAGACACGGUCCAGACUCCUACGGGAGGCAGCAGUGGGGAAUAUUGGACAAUGGGCGCAAGCCUGAUUCAGCCAUACCGCGUGGGUGAAGAAGGCCUUCGGGUUGUAAAGCCCUUUUGUUGGGAAAGAAAUCCUAUCGGUUAAUACCCUGAGGUUCUGACGGUACCCAAAGAAUAAGCACCGGCUAACUUCGUGCCAGCCGCCGCAGUAA